GGGGAUUUAGCUCAGUGGUAGAGCACUUGCCUAGUAAGUGCAAGGCCCUGGGUUCGAUCCCCAGCUCUG
This 69-nucleotide transfer RNA is filed under the name Rattus norvegicus (Norway rat). It matches the Rfam family "tRNA". From Rfam's summary of the family: Transfer RNA (tRNA) molecules are approximately 80 nucleotides in length. Their secondary structure includes four short double-helical elements and three loops (D, anti-codon, and T loops). The record is from Rfam by way of RNAcentral. Lineage: Eukaryota; Metazoa; Chordata; Mammalia; Rodentia; Muridae.